Ochotona curzoniae (black-lipped pika) is the source of this 372-nucleotide long non-coding RNA. RefSeq lists it as uncharacterized. The record is from RefSeq and is a predicted model, not a curated record. NCBI's taxonomy places the organism in Eukaryota, Metazoa, Chordata, Mammalia, Lagomorpha, Ochotonidae. The transcript is spliced from 2 exons.
GCCCCGCGCGGUGCUUGCUGGGAAUUGUAGUCGUAGCUGUUUGCGGGCGGGAAGGAGAGAACGAGCGAUGCAGAGGAGGAAACACACUUCGAGAAAGUAGACGUGCCGUGGGGGAGAUAUGACAAAGCACUUUUUUUGUUUUGUUUUUUAAAAAGCGAAAAAUGAGAGAAUCUAUACGGUGCUGGGUUCACUGUUGUUCUCACGUCCGAUUUUAAUGCUACAUCGAGACCAAAGCGGUCGUCCCGUUCACGUGUGGAAUUUCAUCGGCAGCCUGGAGUAGUCCACCGAGCCGACUCACCUUCGGCCGAUCGCCACGGUUAUCCGGACAUCACACGACACAAACGAAUGUGCUGGAAAGAAAUCAUCGCGUUG